This 400-nucleotide ribosomal RNA is filed under the name uncultured bacterium. Its description in RNAcentral is "bacterial SSU rRNA". It matches the Rfam family "Bacterial small subunit ribosomal RNA", at positions 356 to 773 of the family's 1533-position model. The record is from RNAcentral.
GGGGAAUAUUGGACAAUGGGCGCAAGCCUGAUCCAGCCAUGCCGCGUGAGUGAUGAAGGCCCUAGGGUUGUAAAGCUCUUUCACCGGUGAAGAUAAUGACGGUAACCGGAGAAGAAGCCCCGGCUAACUUCGUGCCAGCAGCCGCGGUAAUACGAAGGGGGCUAGCGUUGUUCGGAAUUACUGGGCGUAAAGCGCACGUAGGCGGAACGGUCAGUUAGGGGUGAAAUCCCAGGGCUCAACCCUGGAACUGCCUUUAAUACUGCCGGUCUGGGGUUCGAGAGAGGUGAGUGGAAUUCCGAGUGUAGAGGUGAAAUUCGUAGAUAUUCGGAGGAACACCAGUGGCGAAGGCGGCUCACUGGCUCGAUACUGACGCUGAGGUGCGAAAGCGUGGGGAGCAAAC